UACGGAGGAUGCAAGCGUUAUCCGGAAUGAUUGGGCGUAAAGCGUCCGCAGGUGGCUGUGUAAGUCUGCUGUUAAAGAGUCUAGCUCAACUAGAUAAAGGCAGUGGAAACUACACGGCUAGAGUGCGUUCGGGGCAGAGGGAAUUCCUGGUGUAGCGGUGAAAUGCGUAGAGAUCAGGAAGAACACCGGUGGCGAAGGCGCUCUGCUAGGCCGCAACUGACACUGAGGGACGAAAGCUAGGGGAGCGAAUGGG
RNAcentral lists this ribosomal RNA (253 nucleotides) under uncultured bacterium. Its description in RNAcentral is "partial 16S ribosomal RNA". It matches the Rfam family "Bacterial small subunit ribosomal RNA", at positions 524 to 776 of the family's 1533-position model. The record is from RNAcentral.